UACGUAGGGGGCAAGCGUUGUUCGGAAUUACUGGGCGUAAAGGGCGCGUAGGCGGCAGGCCAAGUCGGGAGUGAAAGCCUGUGGCUCAACCACAGAAUUGCCUUCGAUACUGCAUGGCUUGAGACCGGAAGAGGUUAGUGGAACUGCGAGUGUAGAGGUGAAAUUCGUAGAUAUUCGCAAGAACACCAGUGGCGAAGGCGGCUGACUGGUCCGGUUCUGACGCUGAGGCGCGAAAGCGUGGGGAGCAAACAGG
RNAcentral lists this ribosomal RNA (253 nucleotides) under uncultured bacterium. RNAcentral's name for it is "partial 16S ribosomal RNA". It matches the Rfam family "Bacterial small subunit ribosomal RNA", at positions 524 to 776 of the family's 1533-position model. The record is from RNAcentral.